UCGGGUAUAGCUGAGCAGUAGAGCGCGUGCCUAGCAUGCACAGGGCCUGGGUUCAAUCCCCAGCACCUCUG
Molecule: transfer RNA, 71 nt
Filed under: Camelus bactrianus (Bactrian camel)
Lineage: Eukaryota; Metazoa; Chordata; Mammalia; Artiodactyla; Camelidae
Also listed under: 2 other names
Rfam family: tRNA
About the family: Transfer RNA (tRNA) molecules are approximately 80 nucleotides in length. Their secondary structure includes four short double-helical elements and three loops (D, anti-codon, and T loops). Further hydrogen bonds mediate the characteristic L-shaped molecular structure. tRNAs have two regions of fundamental functional importance: the anti-codon, which is responsible for specific mRNA codon recognition, and the 3' end, to which the tRNAs corresponding amino acid is attached (by aminoacyl-tRNA synthetases). tRNAs cope with the degeneracy of the genetic code in two manners: having more than one tRNA (with a specific anti-codon) for a particular amino acid; and 'wobble' base-pairing, i.e. permitting non-standard base-pairing at the 3rd anti-codon position.
Source: Rfam by way of RNAcentral